Molecule: ribosomal RNA, 229 nt
Filed under: uncultured bacterium
Lineage: Bacteria
Description: partial 16S ribosomal RNA
Rfam family: Bacterial small subunit ribosomal RNA
Source: RNAcentral
CGUGUAGGCGGUUUGGUAAGUCAGAUGUGAAAGCUCCGGGCUUAACCCGGAAAGUGCGUUUGAAACUGCCAGACUUGAGUGCGGGAGAGGAAGGUGGAAUUCCCAGUGUAGAGGUGAAAUUCGUAGAUAUUGGGAGGAACACCGGUGGCGAAGGCGACCUUCUGGACCGUCACUGACGCUGAGACGCGAAAGCGUGGGGAGCGAACAGGAUUAGAUACCCUGGUAGUCC